Molecule: non-coding RNA, 140 nt
Organism: Podarcis lilfordi (Lilford's wall lizard)
Lineage: Eukaryota; Metazoa; Chordata; Lepidosauria; Squamata; Lacertidae
Source: the annotation of a GenBank genome assembly
GGCAAAUGCAGGCUUUCGCUGAAGCCUGGAGAGCGAGAGGGGUUGGUGCACACCGCCCCCUCUCGCUCUCCAGGCUUCAGGAAGCUAUCCACAAGCCUGCGGAGCCCGGCGGGAACUCCCACGGGCUCUGCAGGCUUGCG